AACGAACGCUGGCGGCAUGCCUAACACAUGCAAGUCGAACGAGACCUUCGGGUCUAGUGGCGCACGGGUGCGUAACGCGUGGGAACCUGCCCUUAGGUUCGGAAUAACUCCCCGAAAGGGGUGCUAAUACCGGAUAAUGUCUUCGGACCAAAGAUUUAUCGCCUUUGGAUGGGCCCGCGUUGGAUUAGCUAGUUGGUAGGGUAAAAGCCUACCAAGGCGACGAUCCAUAGCUGGUCUGAGAGGAUGAUCAGCCACACUGGGACUGAGACACGGCCCAGACUCCUACGGGAGGCAGCAGUAGGGAAUAAUGGACAGUGGGCGAAAGCCUGAUCCAGCAAUGCCGCGUGAGUGAUGAAGGCCUUAGGGUUGUAAAGCUCUUUUACCCGGGAUGAUAAUGACAGUACCGGGAGAAUGAGCUCCGGCUUACUCCGUG
Molecule: ribosomal RNA, 433 nt
Filed under: uncultured bacterium
Lineage: Bacteria
Description: partial 16S ribosomal RNA
Rfam family: Bacterial small subunit ribosomal RNA
Source: RNAcentral